UAUGCACGAUGGCGCAGUAUCCUAGUGAAAGCGGCCCUUUUUGAAGACGGGCCUAAAAAUCCGUCAAAGGGCACAUCGAUGAAGCGUUUUGUGCCUGCUUCGUACGCCCAGUAUGGGGUGGGUGCUGAACGAUUGGACUUGCGGGCAUCCGCAACGGCAUGCGAACAAUGACCCGUCUGUCCUUGGAGGCCUUAUUGCGUGGGCUGGUCCGAAAGCCUACGGGUAAGGGGUAAACCUGUCACGCGGUGCGUUUGACGCUGUGGGCAGCGUAGCCUGCCUUGCGUGGCGGCGGCGGAUUUCGGAACCACGGCGCUCGUCUCCCGGCCGGAGACGCGCGGCGAUUGCCGGAUGAAACCGCAGCUGCAAAAGAGGCUGAGAAAAGGAUCCGCUUUCGGAGGAAAUCUCCUAGGCUGUUUUUUUAAAAAGGCAUAAAAGGGAUUGCAGUGCGCACUCACAGGCAAUCGAGUCCCGGUAUUCGGCGACGGUAUCGGCUCCGCUUUCAAGGGGAACCGCUCCUUCGGUGACGGGGAGUAGCGGAUGGGGAAAUGCCAACUCGACCUUAAGCCGCAACGUUUACUUUUUAUGCUGCCAUCAUCUU
Molecule: small RNA, 598 nt
Filed under: bovine gut metagenome
Source: RNAcentral